CCUACGGGGGGCAGCAGUGAGGAAUAUUGGUCAAUGGCCGAGAGGCUGAACCAGCCAAGUCGCGUGAGGGAAGACGGCCCUACGGGUUGUAAACCUCUUUUGUCGGGGAGCAAAGCGCACCACGUGUGGUUCAUUGAGAGUACCCGAAGAAAAAGCAUCGGCUAACGCCGUGCCAGCAGCCGCGGUAAUACGGAGGAUGCGAGCGUUAACCGGAUUUAUUGGGGUUAAAGGGUGCGCAGGCGGAGGUGUAAGUCAGCGGUCAAAUUGCGGGGCUCAACCCCGUACUGCCGUUGAAACUGCAUCCCUUGAGUGCGCGAGAAGUAUGCGGAAUGCGUGGUGUAGCGGUGAAAUGCAUAGAUAUCACGCAGAACUCCGAUUGCGAAGGCAGCAUACCGGCGCGCAACUGACGCUCAUGCACGAAAGCGUGGGUAUCGAACAGGAUUAGAUACCCGGGUAGUC
This 459-nucleotide ribosomal RNA is filed under the name uncultured bacterium. RNAcentral's name for it is "partial 16S ribosomal RNA". It matches the Rfam family "Bacterial small subunit ribosomal RNA", at positions 338 to 795 of the family's 1533-position model. The record is from RNAcentral.